This 465-nucleotide ribosomal RNA is filed under the name Vreelandella stevensii. RNAcentral describes it as "partial 16S ribosomal RNA". It matches the Rfam family "Bacterial small subunit ribosomal RNA", at positions 338 to 795 of the family's 1533-position model. The record is from RNAcentral. Lineage: Bacteria; Pseudomonadati; Pseudomonadota; Gammaproteobacteria; Oceanospirillales; Halomonadaceae.
CCUACGGGGGGCUGUAGUGGGGAAUAUUGGACAAUGGGCGAAAGCCUGAUCCAGCCAUGCCGCGUGUGUGAAGAAGGCCUUCGGGUUGUAAAGCACUUUCAGUGGGGAAGAAAGCCUUGGGGCUAAUACCCUCGAGGAAGGACAUCACCCACAGAAGAAGCACCGGCUAACUCCGUGCCAGCAGCCGCGGUAAUACGGAGGGUGCGAGCGUUAAUCGGAAUUACUGGGCGUAAAGCGCGCGUAGGCGGUCUGAUAAGCCGGUUGUGAAAGCCCCGGGCUCAACCUGGGAACGGCAUCCGGAACUGUCAGGCUAGAGUGCAGGAGAGGAAGGUAGAAUUCCCGGUGUAGCAGUGAAAUGCGUAGAGAUCGGGAGGAAUACCAGUGGCGAAGGCGGCCUUCUGGACUGACACUGACGCUGAGGUGCGAAAGCGUGGGUAGCAAACAGGAUUAGAUACCCGAGUAGUC